Molecule: ribosomal RNA, 486 nt
Filed under: uncultured eukaryote
Lineage: Eukaryota
Description: bacterial SSU rRNA
Rfam family: Eukaryotic small subunit ribosomal RNA
Source: RNAcentral
UAUGUCUCUCCCUGAACUCCGUAAGAAUUAAAGUGAUCGGACUCUGGGGGGAGUAUGGUCGCAAGGCUGAAACUUAAAGGAAUUGACGGAAGGGCACCACCAGGUGUGGAACUUGCGGUUUAAUUUGACAACACGGGGAAACUCACCAGGUCAGGACAUGAUAAGGAUUGACAGAUUGAAAGAUCUUUCAUGAUUUUAUGGGUGGUGGUGCAUGGCCGAUCUUAGUUCGUGAUAUGAAUUGUCGGCUUAAUUGCGUUAACGAACGAGACCUUUAGGGAUAAAUAGCGUCGCUAUGGCUGUGUCAAAUACAGUUACUGCCUCUGGGAGAAGGGCAUGUUCCCCUUUCAGAUGUCGACGGUGGCUGUAAUAGCUAUAGUUGGCUGCGGUAGCAAUAUCGUAUCAAGCUUCUUAUUCCGACUAUUGAUGUUCAAUCAAUGUAAGUUAAAGGCAAUAUCAGGUCUGUGAUGCCCUUAGAUGUUCUGGGCC